This 496-nucleotide ribosomal RNA is filed under the name uncultured bacterium. RNAcentral describes it as "partial 16S ribosomal RNA". It matches the Rfam family "Bacterial small subunit ribosomal RNA", at positions 29 to 507 of the family's 1533-position model. The record is from RNAcentral.
AUGAACGCUGGCGGCGUGCCUCAUCCAUGCAAGUCGAGCGCACAGACGAGGAGCUUGCUCCUCUGACGUUAGCGGCGGACGGGUGAGUAACACGUGGAUAACCUACCUAUAAGACUGGGAUAACUUCGGGAAACCGGAGCUAAUACCGGAUAAUAUAUUGAACCGCAUGGUUCAAUAGUGAAAGACGGUUUUGCUGUCACUUAUAGAUGGAUCCGCGCCGCAUUAGCUAGUUGGUAAGGUAACGGCUUACCAAGGCAACGAUGCGUAGCCGACCUGAGAGGGUGAUCGGCCACACUGGAACUGAGACACGGUCCAGACUCCUACGGGAGGCAGCAGUAGGGAAUCUUCCGCAAUGGGCGAAAGCCUGACGGAGCAACGCCGCGUGAGUGAUGAAGGUCUUCGGAUCGUAAAACUCUGUUAUUAGGGAAGAACAAAUGUGUAAGUAACUAUGCACGUCUUGACGGUACCUAGUCAGAAAGCCACGGCUAACUACGUG